GUGGGAGGGGGCUUGCCCCCGAUAGCUGAGUGUCAGUCAGUACUUUUGUAGCUGACCCAGCGCUAUCGGGGGCAAGCCCCCUCCCAC
This 87-nucleotide unclassified non-coding RNA is filed under the name Pseudomonas libanensis. Lineage: Bacteria; Pseudomonadati; Pseudomonadota; Gammaproteobacteria; Pseudomonadales; Pseudomonadaceae. The record is from RNAcentral.